ACUUAUGUCAUCAGCCAGUUUGUUCUUUUCAAUAAGCCGAAUUCAUGAUUCUGGUGGCUCUAACUUGUGCUCAGGUAUAACUAUGAACAUGGCCCAGCACAAAAUCAUAAGGCAGGAGGAGAGCUCACUUUGUUCCACCCUACACUUCCCAUGGGCUAUAAAGCAACUAUGCCAACCAGCCAAGGAGUCUCACUCAUAACUCAGCCUGGCCUGAAAUUCACAGCAAUCAAUCUUCCUGCCUCAGCUACCCAAGUGAGAUUAUAGAGAGACUGGAACAGAAGAGACUCAGCCUCUGGGAUGUGAGCGAGUUCUGCCAGCCCUCACGUUUCUCAUUCUGGUUUCCUGGACUCAGAUGUUCACAUGAGCAGAUAUAAACUUCCACCCAAAUCAGCUGCCAUCUUACUGUUUCUUUGGGGUGCAUUGUGAGCAGGAAAUUCAAGUUCUUAUUUGUAGGUUCUUAGCAUCACUGAUAAAAGAAUUUCAAUUAAU
Molecule: long non-coding RNA, 489 nt
Organism: Mastomys coucha (southern multimammate mouse)
Lineage: Eukaryota; Metazoa; Chordata; Mammalia; Rodentia; Muridae
Exons: 4
Source: RefSeq, a predicted model, not a curated record